UACGUAGGAUGCGAGCGUUGUCCGGAAUUAUUGGGCGUAAAGGGCUCGUAGGCGGUUUGUCGCGUCGGGAGUGAAAACUCAGGGCUUAACCCUGAGCCUGCUUCCGAUACGGGCAGACUAGAGGUAUGCAGGGGAGAACGGAAUUCCUGGUGUAGCGGUGAAAUGCGCAGAUAUCAGGAGGAACACCGGUGGCGAAGGCGGUUCUCUGGGCAUUACCUGACGCUGAGGAGCGAAAGUGUGGGGAGCGAACAGG
Molecule: ribosomal RNA, 253 nt
Filed under: uncultured bacterium
Lineage: Bacteria
Description: partial 16S ribosomal RNA
Rfam family: Bacterial small subunit ribosomal RNA
Source: RNAcentral